This 723-nucleotide long non-coding RNA is filed under the name Homo sapiens (human). RNAcentral's name for it is "HSALNT0318352". The record is from RNAcentral. Lineage: Eukaryota; Metazoa; Chordata; Mammalia; Primates; Hominidae.
GCCAGCUAACAGGGAGCUUUGCAGCAGGCAGGGAAUACUCCUGAAACUGCAAAUGUCCCAGGAGGGAGGUGAGAGAGGCUUCCAAUGCUGAGCACAGAGAGGUCUGCUCAGUCCUCCUGCAAACAGCUGAUGAGUGGCAAAACUUGCUUUCAGAAUUGAUAAAAGCACCCCUAAGGGAGCUGAUGGCUUACAGAAUUACUUCCAAGAGGAAACUCUUUCACUCAGAUGACUGCAAACUGGAUCAAACUGAACUCCACAAGCACGCUGCAUUUUGAAAAGUAAUUGUGCUCAGGAUCGUCCUGGCUGCUGUGUUGUAAACAGACUACCUGGGCUAAAGGGCAGAAGGAGAUCAGUUAUGGCAAUCCUGGCUACUGAUGAUGAAAACUUGGACCCAGGAGUUGCAAUGGAAGCAAUGAAAAGAGCAGAAGUUUCUGGAUUCAUUUUAAAUUUAGAACUGACCAGUAUUAACAGGUGCAGUCUUGUAAGGUGAUUGAGUUAUGAUGGCUCCACCUUCACAUGUGGGAUUAGCACCCUUUUAAGAGGGCUCCAAGUGGAAGGGAGCACUCUCUUGCUCUUCUGCUCUUCUGCCAUGUGAGACGGCAGUGCUCCUCCCCUCCAGAGGACGCAACAAUAAGAUGCCAUCUUGGAAGCUGAAAGCAGCCCUCACCAGAUGCCACUUCUGCUAGUGCCUUGAUCUUGAACUUUCCAGCCUCCAGAAUCAUG